This is a long non-coding RNA of Zea mays, 470 nucleotides long. RefSeq lists it as uncharacterized. The transcript has 2 exons. The record is from RefSeq and is a predicted model, not a curated record. NCBI's taxonomy places the organism in Eukaryota, Viridiplantae, Streptophyta, Magnoliopsida, Poales, Poaceae.
CUGAGGCACGACCGCAUGACUCGUCUUCUCUAAUUGCGAUGUUAACUCCCAACGAAAGUAGCAACCCUCAAUUUCAACCUCCCUCAUCUCAAGCAUCUGUUGAGGGUGGAAGUGGGCUUCCAGAGAAUGUGAUUAAUGUUGAACAGGAUGGUGAUGAGGAUGAAGAAGAAGUAGAAGUAGAAUAAAAUGGGAGAAAAAGAAAAUUGAAUCUGCAAUGUGGAAUGAAUUCAAGAGGGUAAAAGUUGGAGAUGUUUGGAAGGAAAAAUGUAAUUAUUGUUCAAAGAAUCUUUUGAGUGUAACAAAGAAUGGUACAUCUCAUUUGAAAGCCCAUCUAGAGACAUACAUCUAUCGAAAGAGGAAUCCUAGAGAUAAGGUCCAAAGCUCUUUGAGGUUCACAUCUAGUAGCGAACAAGGACAAGUGUCGAUUGAGAAGUAUGUUUUCGACCAAGAUGUGGCGAGAAAGGCCCUUG